RNAcentral lists this long non-coding RNA (10494 nucleotides) under Prunus persica (peach). RNAcentral describes it as "long non-coding RNA (PPER_LNC002351)". The record is from RNAcentral. Lineage: Eukaryota; Viridiplantae; Streptophyta; Magnoliopsida; Rosales; Rosaceae.
AGAAACCGGUUAACAGGUCAAAUAACUCCAGAGAUUGGAAAUUUGCAGUCAUUGGAUUCUCUUGAUUUGUCAAGAAACCAGAUAGAUGGAAGAAUUCCGACAAGCCUUGCUCGGAUAGAUCGUCUUAGUUUCUUGGACCUGUCAUAUAACAACUUGUCUGGCAAAAUACCAACAGGCACUCAGCUCCAAAGCUUUGAUCCCCUUGAUUAUGCUGAAAAUCCUCAACUAUGUGGACCUCCACUUAAAAAGAUGUGUGCUGAUCAAAAUGAGCCAUUGAGCAAUGAAGAGGAUAAGGAUGAGUUUAUAACACUGGGAUUUUACAUCAGUAUGGGGAUUGGAUUUGCUGCUGGAUUUUGGGGAGUUUGCGGCACUUUGAUAUUCAAUAGGUCAUGGAGAUAUGCAUACUUGAAGUUCUUGAAUGGUUUAAAUGAUUGGCUCUAUGUGAAGAUAGCUUUGAGCAAGCGGCAACUAAAGCUAGCAUAUGCUUAGUAGAUAAGCUCGCAACGGUACUCUCUCAUUCAUCAUUAAUUUUGUUUUAUAAUUAUUUUUCUUAUUGCAUUUUUUCCUUUUCUCCAUACUGACGGGUAUUAGUUUGUUUACUUUGAUAUUUAGCUGCAGCAUCUAAAUUAGGAGAAAAGUAGUUGUAGCUGAAUGCCUUCUUUCAGUUCAAGUGUGGAAGAUUGCCAGUAGCCGCACGCACAAGUAUCUGGAGAAGAGUUUACGAGUUAAUUUGGAGUGCUUAGUAGGAAUAAAUAUUAUUCAUAUUAGUGUUAAUUACUUGUCAGAAUAAUUAAUUCGGAAUUCUCCAAUUAAUGUUUUUUAAUAUAUUUGUUAUAGAGAAAUAAACAGAUCCAUUUUAAUCCAAGCUCACUCCGAUUAAUGUAUUAAUUCCAGCUAUAGUGUUAUUUUAAUUAACUAAGUUAAAGCCAAAGCAGACUUGAUUUCAAGUUACAAUGUGUGGCUCUGUUUUGGUCAUCUAUUUGCAACGUACAGCUUCUCCUGUUUUGGUCAUUCUUUCCUUUCAUAAUUCAAUAUCCUGUUCUGGGCACAUGGUAGAAGAUGCCUUUUUGUAAACAGACUUUUUGUAUUUGGUCAGGCUUGCAAUGCUCUAUUUUGUGGAUUUUAAGAUUGUAUUAGGCUUACUUGUGAGCUGCAAAAUGCCUUGUACCAACGUUUAUGUAUAAAAUGUGUGCUAAAUGAGUGUAGAGUACAAGAUUGAAGGUCUUCCUGGAAAAGCAAUCACAAGCAUUUUCUCUCUUUUCAAUUUGUAGAAAUGUUCAAGUUCUUGCCCAUUGCUCGCAGAUAUAUAGUAUUGUGUAGCAUAAAGGCUCCAACAUAUGCAAUUCCAUCAAGGCCUGCAGGCCAAUCACUGCUGUCUCUUGGUUAUUACAAACAUUUGUAGAGCCAUAAUGAAAACUUGGUAGGCAAACCCAAAUACUCGCAUUGACCAUUUGCAUAAACUUGAUAGGCUAGCAAGGGGCUUGUAGCUCAAGCGGUUAAGAGCAUCUAUCCCUACACUCGAGGUCCUAGAUGUGAUUACCUCGUCCCAAUAUCGCUUGUAACCAAAAACAAACAAAAAACUAGAUAGGCCAGACCCAGAUGAACCUGGUUUUCAUAAACUUGUUGGUCAGCUUGACGGUGGCUUAUUAGAAGUCCAAAUUGGUUGAGAAAGUAAUGUCCACCAAUUUUAGCAGAUACCCUUUUGGAUAAUUUUGAACAGAGCACUUAAUUGUUAAUGACUAGGGCCCCAAGGGUAAGUUCUAGGUAUGUUACCUUAGGCCUAAAAUAACCCUUUUGUUGUGAUGAUCUUUAAAGGGUGACCAAGAACGUACAAAAUUUUGUUCAUUAAACCAUAUUGUAGAGGCUAUCGAAAGUUUGCCUGCACCUCCAGAAAUCAAGGAUCCAUCGCAGAGGCACAGAGGAGAUGUUAGUUACUUUAUUUGCACAAGACCUGGGAGAGGUCCAGUUGUGCUGUCAGAUGAAAGUCAAUUUCUUCUCGACCCUGAAACUGGGUUGAAGAAGUAAGUUCAGAAGCAUUAUCUUUCUUUCACGGUGUUCUGUUCCUUCUCAGGCCAAUUCAAAUGGCUGUAUGAGCCAGAAGUAAUUCGUUUCGGAUGAUCCUUUUAGGCUGAACCCAAGAAAUGCCUUAAAAUGAUUAUCUGAGUUCAUCGCAGUUGGACAGUUUCUGUUGCUUGUUUCAUGUAUCUGUAACUUGCUUUUUGCUGUUUUAAGCCAAUUAUGGUCUUUGUACUCAUUGUCUUCAGCUUCUCGUGAUCUUUUGGCAGCAUCGCCUGCAACUUCUCUAUCUCUCUUUCUCAAUCUCGUCAAGCAUUUGAACAUAAUGGCCAAAUUUCAUUGUAAAUUAAUUACGUGCCACAGCAUGUCAUGAUGAAAUAAACAGCAGUGAUUGGUGCAGUAAACCCUUUUAAUGGUUCCAUAUAUCAGUCUGGUCUUUCAUAAUCUUUUCUAUGAUGAUAGAAUGCAGCAGGUUUCAAUAUUUUCUGCAUGAUACAUUAACAUCUUCAUUUUCAAUGUGAUAAUGUUAUGUUCAUUGCUUUAAAAGAAAUGAAACUUCCCCAUUUUGAAAGAAAUGAAACUUCCCCAUCUUCAUUUUAGAUGUUUUUUUAAUGACUUUUUUUGUGCUACCAGGAGCAGAAACUGAGUGGGGAAAUUUGAUUAAAAGACCAUUCAUUCGGGUUCCUGAGAUUGGAAAUGGGAAGUCUUUUCCUUACUCGAUUUCAAAUCUAUGUUUGGAACAGCUAGCCAAUAUGCUACUGAAACCUCAACUUCUUAAUCAUGCUGGAACUUUAGCUGCUCUACAAACUAGCCCACGGCCUAUGCAGCCGCCUUUGGAAUCAUUACUUUACCACUCCCAACAAACUGAUAUGCCUCAUUCAGAUUUCAAUAGCAGAAAUGGUUCGCUUCCAUUCCUAGACAAUGAUGAAUGCAUAUUUUUCCAGUCUUGUCAACCCUUUGCUGGGUGUUGAAAUAUAAGUAGUCAGCUGAUAGAAAAUGUAACUAAACCUAUUUAGCUAAUGGUGUAUUCACUUAGUCACUAAAAUGACAGGUGUUAGGCUUGAGUAGUGAAAGGCUGUACAAGCCACGUGUAAUGUUUCUAGAAAGCAGUUUUAGAUGAAGGGCUGUGAUACAAAGCAUGUAAUUGUAUCCAGCUGGUCUUUCUAACUAAAAUAUAGCACACACAGAGUCUGCUCUUUUCGAUUAGAGUAUUGAAAUACAAAGCUUCUGUUGAAUCGAUUCUUUGUGUAUUCUCUUUGCUCUCUCCACUAUUCUUCACAAAACUCGAACAUGGCCUCAGAGCCAGGUUGGAUCAUUUAGAUCUAGGCGUAAUCUGUGAAGUCACUGAGCUCAAUUGAAGCUCACCUGAAGCUCUGUUAAGCAUCUGAGAAGAGAAAUUAAUUGAUUUGAACCAAAAGAUGUCUGGGUCUGGAGGCUCGGAGGUGAGGACGCCAAUUUUCUCCGGUGAGAACUACGAGUUCUGGAGGAUUAAGAUGGUAACGGUUUUCAAAUCUCUUGGACUAUGAAGUCUGGUAGAAAAGGGGAUUCCAACCCUGAUUCGAAGAAGAAGAAGAAAGCUGAAGAGUCAUCGGAAGAAGAAGCUGAUGCAGAGAUGAUCGUUGUGCUCAUGAAGGAUUGCCAACGCCGACUCAGCCAAAAUGGCAUGGAAUCUGCUCUAUAGUGAAUAUCACGGUGGUGAUCAGAUCAGGUCAGUGAAACUUCAAAAUCUCAGAAGUGAAUUUGAAUCUAUGAGAAUGCGUGAGAAUGAACCUCUAACUGCAUAUCUCACCCGGUUGAAUGAAUUGAUAAAUCAAAUGAAAACAUUUGGAGAAGUGCUAUCAAAUGAAAGGCUGGUUCAGAAAGUGUUAAUUAGUCUUAGUAAAGUAUAUGACCCUAUCUGCUUAGUGAUUGAAAAUACAAAGAGUUUGGAGACUAUUGAAUUGCAGGAGGUCAUUGCAAUUUUGAAGAGCCAAGAGCAGCGUUUUGACAUGCAUAAUGUGGACACAGCUGAGAAGGCAUUUGGCUCUUUCUCAGUCAAUACACAAGGGCAGAACAAGAAUAGUACUCAAACUGGUUCUGCUAAGUCUCAGAAAAAUUGGAAGUCUAACAACAAACCAUGGGAGUCUAGACCUAAGCCACAACAAGCUGGUGCUGCACAGAACUCAAAUGGAUCACAAUAUGUGCAUCAAGAUGGAGUGAAGCCUCAAUGCAAAGUAUGCUCUAAAUUUCAUUUUGGAGAAUGUCGAUAUAAGGGUCAAUCUAAGUGCUAUAAGUGUGAUAGAUUUGGACAUUAGGCUAGGGACUGUACUGCAAACAAAGGAGUACAGAAAGCAAAUAAUGUAAGCCAAGUAGAAGUAAGGGGAAAUUUGUUUUAUGCAAACUGUGCAAUCUCAGAGAAGAGUGAAAAUGGAGAGUAGUAUAUAGACAGUGGUUGUAGUAACCAUAUGACUGGGAACAAGGAGCUGUUAAUUGACAUAAACACAAAUGUCACAGGCAAGGUGCAAAUGCCAACAGGGGAGCUUGUAGGUAUAACUGGUAUGGGCACUUUAGUACUUGACACAGGGUCUGGUACAAAGUAUAUCAAAGAAGUCAUGUAUUUGCCUGGUUUGAAAGAAAAUCUGUUGAGUGUAGGCCAAAUGGAUGAACAUGGUUAUCAUUUGGUGUUUGGAAGCAGCAUGUGCAAUAUUUUUGAUGAUUAUUCACUGGAGAAUCUUGUCAUGAAGGUGGCAAUGAGAAAGAACAUAUGCUAUCCAUUGUCACUAUCUUCAAAUGACUUUAUUGCACUAAGAGCUAGUGUGUCUCCAUCUACCUGGAUUUGGCACAAAAGAAUGGGGCAUUUACAUUUAAAAGGGCUAAACCAGCUCAAGGAAAAGGAGAUGGUGCAUGGUUUGCCGCAUUUGGAAGCUGCAAAUGGAGUCUGUGAAGGCUCAGUUUGGGAAACAACAUAGAGAAUGGUUUCUAAAGAACCAAGCAUGGAGGGCAAGUACUCCUUUUGAGUUAAUAUACAUGGACUUGUGUGGGCCUAUGCAAAAUGAGUCAGUUGCAGGUAACAAAUACUUCAUGCUUCUCAUAGAUGACUGCACAAGAAUGAUUUGGGUCUAUUUCCUUAGAUACAAGUCUGAUUCACUAAAUUGCUUUAGAAAGUUUAAGUCUAUGGUAGAGCUGCAGAGUGGUUUUAAAGUAAAAUGUGUAAGAAGUGAUAAAGGAGGAGAGUUUACAUCUAGUGAAUUCGAUAAGCUGUGUGAAGAGGCAGGAAUUCAAAGGCACUUUUCUAUGGCAUAUACUCCACAACAGAAUGGAGUGGUAGAAAGGAAGAAUAGGACGGUGGUAGAAAUGGCAAAGGCUAUGUUACAUGAGAAGGAGCUACCCUACUAUCUGUGGACAGAAGUUGUACACACUGCCGUGUACAUAUUGAAUAGAUGUCCUACCAAGGCACUCAGAAACAAAACUCCUUUUGAAGCUUAUAGUACAAGGAAACCAGGUGUUGCUCAUUUAAAAGUGUUUGGCAGCGUCUGCUUUGUACAUAAACCAGCUGAAGGGAGACAGAAAUUGGAUGCCAAGAGCACAAAGGGAGUGUUUGUUGGUUAUGCGACUUGUGAAAAGGGUUAUAGAGUUUUUGACCCUUUCACUAAGAAGCUCUUAUUGUCAAGAGAUGUUGUAUUUGAUGAAGGAGCAACCUGGAAUUGGAAGGAAGUGGCUGAGAAUCAAGUGCAAGUGAUGAACUAUGAAGAGCAGCCUAGGAAUUCUGAAGCAACACCAUUUGAAACAUCUGUAGGAAAUCAGAAUCAUGGUUUCAUGUCAGGAGAAAGUGUUUCACAAGGAUAAUCAAAUAAAAUAGGCAGCAGAGUAGAAGACACUCAAAGUUUUGAUCAUACUCCAUUGAAAUGGAGAAAGCUGGAUGAUAUUUUAGCACAAUGCAAUCUGUGCAUUAUGGAGCCUAAGAAAUUUGAUGAAGCUGUAAAGGAUGAGUCAUGGAUAAAGGCAAUGAAAGAUGAGUUGUCAAUGAUAGAGAAGAAUGCUACAUGGGAGCUUGUUGACAGACCUACGGAAAAACCAGUUAUUGGAGUUAAAUGGGUGUUUAAAACCAAGUUAAAUCUGGACGGUUCAGUGCAGAAAAAUAAGGCAAGGUUAGUGGCUAAAGGAUACUCUCAGAAACCAGGGGUAGACUACAAUGAAACAUUUGCACCUGUGGCUAGAUUAGACACAAUCCGAACUCUAAUUGCAUUAACAGCACAGAAGAGUUGGAAGCUGUACCAAUUAGAUGUUAAGUCAGCUUUUCUAAAUGGCAUCUUAGAAGAAGAAGUGUAUAUAGAUCAGCCGGAGGGAUUUGUGGUGAAGGGGAGUGAAAGCAAGGUUUACAAGCUGCACAAAGCUCUAUAUGGCUUGAAAUAGGCACCAAGAGCUUGGUAUAGUGAAAUUGAUGGUUAUUUUGCUGAGUGUGGUUUCACAAAGAGUCAAAGUGAGGCUACCCUUCAUGUCAAGACAAGAGGUGAAGCAAGCAUCCUGAUAGUGUCUAUCUAUGUAGAUGACAUAGUCUACACUGGAAAUAACCAAGCAAUGUUGGAAGAAUUCAAGCAAGAUAUGAUGGAGAAAUAUGAGAUGACAGAUUUGGGACUCUUGCACCAUUUUUUGGGGAUGGGAGUGACUGUAAACCUGUGGCUAUCCUUCUUGUUCCAACUGAAAAAUUAAGUAAGGAUGAUGGGAGUGGUUCCACAAAUGAGGAGCAAUAUAGAAAGAUCGUUGGAAGUCUGCUGUAUCUCACAGCUACAAGACCUGAUAUUAUGUUUGCAACUAGCUUGCUUGCAAGGUUUAUGCACUGCCCCACCACCAAACAUCUUGGAACAGCAAAACGGGUUCUUAGAUAUGUGAAAGGAACACUUGACUAUGGUCUGGAGUAUGUGAAGGGAAAAGAGGCAGUUCUAAUUAGCUAUUGUGACAGUGACUGGAAUGGCUCAGUGGAUGAUAGCAAGAGCACUUCUGGAUAUGCAUUUUCUUUUGGAAGUGGAGUGUUUGCUUGGGCUUCAGUCAAACAGAACUGCGUUGCACUCUCUACUGCAGAGGUAGAAUACAUUAGUGCCUCUGAAGCAACAACACAAGCUAUUUGGUUGAGAUAUGUUUUGGAAGAUUUCGGAGAAUUUCAAACAGAGGCCAUACCACUAGACUGUGAUAGCAUCUCAGCUAUUGCCAUUACAAAGAACCUUGUGUUCCACCAGAAAACCAAGCAUAUUGAUCGAAGGUACCAUUUUAUUAAAGAUGCUUUGCAAGAAGGAAUUGUGGAUUUGAUCUAUUGUCCUACGAAUGAGCAGCUAGCAGACAUUUUUACAAAGGCUCUAGCUAAAGAUCGUUUAUGCUAUCUUAGAGAGAAGCUCGGUGUGAAAUCAGCUCACAACUUAAAGGGGAGUGUUGAAAUAUAAGUAGUCAACUGAUAGAAAAUGUAACUAAACCUAUUUAGCUAAUGGUGUAUUCACUUAGUCACUAAAAUGACAGGUGUUAGGCUUGAGUAGUGAAAGGCUGUACAAGCCACGUGUAAUGUUUCUAGAAAGCAAUUUUAGAUGAAGGGCUGUGAUACAAAGCAUGUAAUUGUAUCCAGCUGGUCUUUCUAACUAAAAUAUAGCACACACAGAGUCUGCUCUUUUCGAUUAGAGUAUUAAAAUACAAAGCUUCUGUUCAAUCGAUUCUUCGUGUAUUCUCUUUGCUCUCUCCACUAUUCUUCACAAAAACACUGGGACACUUAGAUCACUGGGGCUUUUGUCUGUGUUUGAUUUGCAAGAUUCUUCAGCUGCAGCUCACUUCAUCCCAUCGAGAUCCAGGUAGCCUUAAUUGUAUUUCUAACUCAAGCAGUCUGAGACAUUUCUCAGAUGAGAGCAACAAUCAAAGUGGGACUGGAUGAGAUUUCUACACUAAAGAAAGCAGAUUUUCACAACCCCUCAGAUUGCUUGGUUGGUAACCUGAGCUCGAGCCAGGAUCUUCAGUCUCAGUGUACCUCUGCCAGCCUAGGCGACUCCCAGGCUUUCUCCAGGCAAUACCUGGCAGACAACUCAGGUUUGCAACUAGGAUGCAUUGUUGAGGUGUUUCUCGCUUGAUGGUGCCUGAUAUAUUGAUCUUAUUGUGCAUUCAGAAAACUCAAGCUAUCUUAGUUGAUCUUAUUGUACAACAUUUGUGUUUGAUGUACUUCCGGUCUCUGAAAGAGGUUAUAAAACUAAAUGGUUUAUUUAUCCAUACUUUUCCUGGCUUAAAAAGCCUGAGGCCACAGAAUUGAAAUUACCAGUACAAAGAUAUUUGAUAACUGAUUCUUCAACUUCUUGGAGGAAAACCCAGACCAUGCUAACAAGCUAGGAUCAGAGAAGGUCAUACAUAUUUGGAUGCUAAAAUACAUCAAAUAUUGAAUGCCUUAAUACAUUCAAGAAUACACUAUGAUUCUUUCAUUUCCUAACAAGUCAUUGUCCAGAGAACAGAACAGCUAAUAUCUCCUAAAAUAGAAAUCAAGAAAUAAAGUAGCUUUUAAAUUACAAAACAGAUUCUACCUCCAGCUUGCUUGCAGUCAGGAAAAUAAGCAAUUGAUGACGCCCUUAUUGCGACCUUGAAGGAAUUUCAUGAAGAUGUUAAAAAGUAAUUAAGCCACACAAAUUUUGUGCACUUAAUGUCAAAAAUUAGCUCAAGUAAUUACAAGAUAUUCACAUUGAAUCCAUACAGAAAAACCAAAAGCAGCAGAUGAUACACACAUCAAGCACGUCUCUUACGAAGAUGCCAAGAGUUAGGUUCAUGGUAUCUAUCAUAUAGCAGUUCAAUAUGUUCUUGAUGCUUGCGCUUGCUCAUCUUGGUGGGAUCUGCCACUUUGAAGAACCUGUGCCAGUUCCACGAGCCAUUGGGGUCGACGACCGUCACCUCGCGCAUGUACUCCUUUGUGGUCAUAACCAGCUCAUGGUAGAUCACCCAAGCUGGUUGUCUCUGGAAGACGGCGCUGCUUGGGUGUAUAUAAACAGGUUGGUUCUCCACUAGGGUUUUAUACACAAACUUAUGCUAGGUUUUUAUACACAAACUUAUCCUAGAGCUUACAUUGGCAUGUCAAUCAAUGAAAACUGUUAAAGGCGAUGGUAGGAUGUGUAAUAUGCCAUCUGAAUUUCCAUAUCAACUUUUAAAACAGUUUUGCCAAGAAAAACAAUUGCGGUAUCAAAAUGCCUAACAUGUCCGCACAAGAGAGCCCAUUUGAAGAGCAUAUACUGGCAAUUUAGCUAUACACAAAAGAGUAGCUAUAAUUUAUAAAGAUACUAUACUUAACCACUGAAAAAAUGGUGGAAAAAAGCACUUCUGCUAAUAAUGCUCUGAAAACAGUGUAUGUAGUAACAUCAACAUGACAACUCGUAAUGACCUAUUCGCUGCUCAGGUACCAUAUAUCUAGAUUUUAAAACCCAAACUAGGCCUGAACAACAUUUCAACAUUUCCAUCAAGUACAGACAGCAAAAGGCAUGCCUAAUCCACGACUACUGCAAAAAUACAAUGUACCAAACAUGAGCAAACCUAGAACAUUAAUCUACAUCUUUUAAAACCAUUCAUGCACAUGUGAAACCAGAAAAAAAGAUGCAUGCAACCAUGAAUAACAACGCUUUUUCCGGAAAAAUUCCCAUGACAAUAGGCUCUUUAUUUCAAAUGCAAACUUUGAAAUUAAGAAGUAACCAAUUUGUUGGAGAAUUGCCUUCAUCGUUGAAGAACUGCGCAAGUUUAGAAGUUAUUGAUCUGGGAUACAAUAAAUUAUCAGGACCAAUACCUACAUGGUUAGGCGUGAGCUUCAAGAAUUUGGUUGUCCUGAUGCUUUCCACCAAUCAAUUCAAUGGAAGCAUGCCCUCACAAUUAUGCCAUCUAACACACAUUCAAAUUAUGGAUUUCUCUAUGAACAACAUCUCUGGAAGCAUACCCAAAUGCCUCAACAAUUUGACUACUCUGGCUCAAAAAGGAAAUCCAAGUCUAUCCAGCACACAUUCUUAUAUCAGAGUUAUGGUAAUAACACAGCUGCUGGUGCUAAUUAUGAGGAUGAUGCAAGCUUCAUAUGGAAAGGAAGAAUGCAGACAUACAAAAGCACUUUGGGACUUGUGAAGAGAAUUGAUCUCUCAAGCAAUAGAUUAACAGGGGAGAUUCCAAGUGAAAUCACUCAUCUUGUUGAGUUGAUUUCUUUAAACCUUUCAAGAAACCGGUUAACAGGUCAAAUAACUCCAGAGAUUGGAAAUUUGCAGUCAUUGGAUUCUCUUGAUUUGUCAAGAAACCGGAUAGAUGGAAGAAUUCCGACAAGCCUUGCUCGGAUAGAUCGUCUUAGUUUCUUGGACUUGUCAUAUAACAACUUGUCUGGCAAAAUACCAACAGGCACUCAGCUCCAAAGCUUUGAUCCCCUUGAUUAUGCUGAAAAUCCUCUACUAUGUGGACCUCCACUUAAAAAGAUGUGUGCUGAUCAAAAUGAGCAAACUGGCUUGAGCAAUGAAGAGGAUA